This 490-nucleotide ribosomal RNA is filed under the name uncultured bacterium. Its description in RNAcentral is "partial 16S ribosomal RNA". It matches the Rfam family "Bacterial small subunit ribosomal RNA", at positions 30 to 507 of the family's 1533-position model. The record is from RNAcentral.
AUUGAACGCUGGCGGCAGGCCUAACACAUGCAAGUCGAACGGUAACAGGAAACAGCUUGCUGUUUCGCUGACGAGUGGCGGACGGGUGAGUAAUGUCUGGGAAACUGCCUGAUGGAGGGGGAUAACUACUGGAAACGGUAGCUAAUGCCGCAUAACGUCGCAAGACCAAAGAGGGGGACCUUCGGGCCUCUUGCCAUCGGAUGUGCCCAGAUGGGAUUAGCUAGUAGGUGGGGUAACGGCUCACCUAGGCGACGAUCCCUAGCUGGUCUGAGAGGAUGACCAGCCACACUGGAACUGAGACACGGUCCAGACUCCUACGGGAGGCAGCAGUGGGGAAUAUUGCACAAUGGGCGCAAGCCUGAUGCAGCCAUGCCGCGUGUAUGAAGAAGGCCUUCGGGUUGUAAAGUACUUUCAGCGGGGAGGAAGGGAGUAAAGUUAAUACCUUUACUCAUUGACGUUACCCGCAGAAGAAGCACCGGCUAACUCCGUG